GAUGAACGCUGGCGGCGUGCCUAAUACAUGCAAGUCGAGCGAACGGACGAGAAGCUUGCUUUUCUGGUGUUAGCGGCGGACGGGUGAGUAACACGUAGAUAACCUACCUAUAAGACUGGGAUAACUUCGGGAAACCGGAGCUAAUACCGGAUAAUAUUUUGAACCGCAUGGUUCAAAAGUGAAAGACGGUCUUGCUGUCACUUAUAGAUGGAUCCGCGCUGCAUUAGCUAGUUGGUAAGGUAACGGCUUACCAAGGCAACGAUGCAUAGCCGACCUGAGAGGGUGAUCGGCCACACUGGAACUGAGACACGGUCCAGACUCCUACGGGAGGCAGCAGUAGGGAAUCUUCCGCAAUGGGCGAAAGCCUGACGGAGCAACGCCGCGUGAGUGAUGAAGGUCUUCGGAUCGUAAAACUCUGUUAUUAGGGAAGAACAUAUGUGUAAGUAACUGUGCACAUCUUGACGGUACCUAAUCAGAAAGCCACGGCUAACUACGUG
RNAcentral lists this ribosomal RNA (497 nucleotides) under uncultured bacterium. RNAcentral's name for it is "partial 16S ribosomal RNA". It matches the Rfam family "Bacterial small subunit ribosomal RNA", at positions 28 to 507 of the family's 1533-position model. The record is from RNAcentral.